UUUCUUCCCCUGCUGCGCGAUUGGCUGGCGCAGGGGACGCCCGACCCCCUGACCUGUAUCUUGACCAUCUCCGGCCAACAUCGCCAGAUGCCCACUAUGUUGUGCCCUCUUCAGAACUCCGGCGGAGCUGAACCCGGUUCGCCGCGCCUCCAUCGACACUCCAGUGCGUGGUGCCGGGGAGUCCACCCACUCAUCCCCUGUUAGUCCGGUGCGGUGUGCACUGCAACUGUUGGUGACCAGCAGUGCCGCCUCUCCCGUGUUCCUCUUACCAGCAACAAGCAGACAAGCACCGUUGAGAGAUGAACUUGUGAAGUUCACUCCAUCGCCAGCAGCAGGCCGCUUGGGGGCUUUGGGGUGCCAAGAUGGUAUGGCUCUGCAGGAAGAGGCUUGUGUUUACCAACAACCAGGGGGUGGUCGUCAAGGGUGUGUAUGUACAACAUUCUCAUCACAAUCCCUGUUCUUUUCUUUUUCGUUGAUAACUAGCGCUUAUUGAAUUGGUUCGUUAAUAACUAAUUACAGAAACAUUAGGAGAGAUAAAAUGGGUUUAAAACUGAUUGAUUAUGAGGCGCUAUUCUAGUCUGCUGGGAAAUUGAUGAAUGAAAUAUGUGUACAAGUGACCAUUAUGUGGUCAUCCUUUUGCUUUGCAUUCCCAGAUUGACUAGGAUGAGCACGGAUAUGAAGAAUUACCCGAGCGUAUGAGAAUAUUUUGAGAGUUCAGAUUAAAUUGGACUACUCAUUUGUCCCUGAUGUGGAAAAUGGAUAUUACAUGUGUAUCUUAAUUGUUCAUUUCAGUUUGAAUGCCCCCGAAGUUCAAUAUGAACGCAUUCGUAGUUCAGCUUGUCUCACUGAAAAAUCAUCUUAUUGUCGAGCAGUUCAUUUAAAUAUACAGAAAGUUCAAUUGUGCAACGCAUGAAAGUUCAUUUCAUUUUUAUUUGGAAUACUUCACGUUUGGCAUUGGUGCAGUUUACUGUUAGCCAUGGUGCAGCUCAGUUUAUCGCUGUUUCUCACAAGGGAGUUCACUUCAGCCGAAGGCAAAAAUUAAGUUUUUUCAGCGGAAGGGUUUGAUUCAUAAUCAGCUAGCUAUUUUAUUAAUCAGCUAGUUAUUCAUUUAUCGGAACAAAGAUGCACACAGGGACAAGGAAGUGCACCCUCCCUUGGCUCCGCCAUGCUCGGAACAGCCACAGGAGUCCACCCGUCGCUGCCCAGGAGUCCACUAGCGCGGGAUCAAUUAGCUGCACCCAUCCCCUUCCCUGGCUCGAGCCUCCCCUUGGAGUCGCCAUGCGCCACCGGGGAGUCCACCCCACGCCUACCCCCAGCAGUCUUGUGUGUGCGGCCAGGAGCCAACAUGAGGCGCUGGGAGCGCUGUCCCUGCACCAGCGUGGCCUCCUGCUGUUCCAGGGUGACGGCGACAUGAUGGGCUACAGUUUCCAGGUCGUGCGCCGUCCUGUUCAAGUAUCCCAAACCUGACAUGGACAGGGAGAUUCAUUCAUGAGCUCGAGGAAAGCACCAGGCCGCUCUCUUUCGUUGUCU
Molecule: RNA transcript, 1530 nt
Organism: Lolium rigidum
Lineage: Eukaryota; Viridiplantae; Streptophyta; Magnoliopsida; Poales; Poaceae
Exons: 5
Source: RefSeq, a predicted model, not a curated record